RNAcentral lists this ribosomal RNA (486 nucleotides) under uncultured Clostridiaceae bacterium. Its description in RNAcentral is "bacterial SSU rRNA". It matches the Rfam family "Bacterial small subunit ribosomal RNA", at positions 1 to 507 of the family's 1533-position model. The record is from RNAcentral. Lineage: Bacteria; Bacillati; Bacillota; Clostridia; Eubacteriales; Clostridiaceae.
GUAGUUUCGAUCCGUGGCUACGAGGACGACGCUGGCGGCGUGCCUAACACAUGCAAGUCGAGCGAGUGGAGUUCUUCGGAACAAAGCUAGCGGCGGACGGGUGGGUAACACGUGGGCAACCUGCCUCAUAGAGGGGAAUAGCCUUCCGAAAGGGAGAUUAAUACCGCAUAAGAUUGUAGCUUCGCAUGAAGUAGCAAUUAAAGGAGCAAUCCGCUAUGAGAUGGGCCCGCGGCGCAUUAGCUAGUUGGUGAGGUAACGGCUCACCAAGGCGACGAUGCGUAGCCGACCUGAGAGGGUGAUCGGCCACAUUGGGACUGAGACACGGCCCAGACUCCUACGGGAGGCAGCAGUGGGGAAUAUUGCACAAUGGGGGAAACCCUGAUGCAGCAACGCCGCGUGAGUGAUGACGGCCUUCGGGUUGUUAAAGCUCUGUCUUCAGGGACGAUAAUGACGGUACCUGAGGAGGAAGCCACGGCUAACUACGUA